This 227-nucleotide ribosomal RNA is filed under the name Rhipicephalus sanguineus (brown dog tick). Its description in RNAcentral is "partial 16S ribosomal RNA". Lineage: Eukaryota; Metazoa; Arthropoda; Arachnida; Ixodida; Ixodidae. The record is from RNAcentral.
AGGUAUUGAAAUAAGAUUUUAAUUGAAUGCUAAGAGAAUGGAAGUCCAGAAAAAAACUUUUUUUAAAUUAAAAAUUGAAGUUUUUUUAAUUUGUGCAGAAACAAUUAUUUAUAUUAAAGACAAGAAGACCCUAUGAAUUUAUUAAAUUUUUAUUUAAUAUGUAAUUACUAUUAGAAAAAUUUUGGCUGGGGCGGCUAGAAAAUAUUAUGAACUUUUUAAAAAUAAAA